AUAGCUUUGCAGCAUUUGGCCAAGAUCAAGUGUAUUAGGUGUUCUUAUCAGUUUAAUAUCGGAUUCGUCCACUAUCUGGACACCAUAUAUUAAAUGGACGAUUUUGAAGCUGGCUUCAUCACCUUGUGCAUUAAAGGGGUACUCCGGUGGUCAACGUGUUUUUCCGUUACCCUAUUUGUUUUGUUUAAUUUCU
Hyla sarda is the source of this 193-nucleotide small nuclear RNA. RefSeq annotates it as U2 spliceosomal RNA. The transcript has a single exon. NCBI's taxonomy places the organism in Eukaryota, Metazoa, Chordata, Amphibia, Anura, Hylidae. The record is from RefSeq and is a predicted model, not a curated record.